This 471-nucleotide long non-coding RNA is filed under the name Zostera marina. RNAcentral's name for it is "long non-coding RNA (ZMAR_LNC004834)". Lineage: Eukaryota; Viridiplantae; Streptophyta; Magnoliopsida; Alismatales; Zosteraceae. The record is from RNAcentral.
GUCGGAGUUCUUCCUCCACCACAUAUGGUCCUUCCCAAUUUGCGGCUAGUUUGCCUUUAGAGCAGUCUUUUCUACCGACACUCGCUCUUCUCCAUACUAGGCUUCCUUUUCUUAUCGCUUUACCCUUGACAUUCUUGUCGUGAUAUCUAGCGAUACUUUGUUUGUAAGCUGCAUUCUUUGCCUGUGCAUUAUCCCUAAGCUCAUCCACUAAGUCCAGAGUUAUCGCACAUGAUCUCAUGUUUUCUUCCAUGUCAUAGGAUAACACUCUGACUGUUGGGAUGCUUAGCUCUGUUGGGAUUAGUGCUUCCAUUCCAUAUGCUAGUGAGAACGGGGUUUCUCCGGUGGGUGUCUUUUCAGUGGUUCUAUACGCCCACAGGAUCUCUGGUAGUAGAUCUGCCCACGAACCUUUGGCCUGUUCGACUUUUUUCUUCAGUCUCUGAACGAUGGCUCUGUUUGUGACUUCUACUUGCC